GGAUGAACGCUAGCUACAGGCUUAACACAUGCAAGUCGAGGGGCAGCAUGGUCUUAGCUUGCUAAGACUGAUGGCGACCGGCGCACGGGUGAGUAACACGUAUCCAACCUGCCGUCUACUCUUGGACAGCCUUCUGAAAGGAAGAUUAAUACAAGAUGGCAUCAUGAGUCCGCAUGUUCACAUGAUUAAAGGUAUUCCGGUAGACGAUGGGGAUGCGUUCCAUUAGAUAGUAGGCGGGGUAACGGCCCACCUAGUCUUCGAUGGAUAGGGGUUCUGAGAGGAAGGUCCCCCACAUUGGAACUGAGACACGGUCCAAACUCCUACGGGAGGCAGCAGUGAGGAAUAUUGGUCAAUGGGCGAGAGCCUGAACCAGCCAAGUAGCGUGAAGGAUGACUGCCCUAUGGGUUGUAAACUUCUUUUAUAAAGGAAUAAAGUCGGGUAUGGAUACCCGUUUGCAUGUACUUUAUGAAUAAGGAUCGGCUAACUCCGUGCCAGCAGCCGCGGUAAUACGGAGGAUCCGAGCGUUAUCCGGAUUUAUUGGGUUUAAAGGGAGCGUAGAUGGAUGUUUAAGUCAGUUGUGAAAGUUUGCGGCUCAACCGUAAAAUUGCAGUUGAUACUGGAUAUCUUGAGUGCAGUUGAGGCAGGCGGAAUUCGUGGUGUAGCGGUGAAAAUGCUUAGAUAUCACGAAGAACUCCGAUUGCGAAGGCAGCCUGCCUAAGCUGCAACUGACAUUGAGGCUCGAAAGUGUGGGUAUCAAACAGGAUUAGAUACCCUGGUAGUCCACACGGUAAACGAUGAAUACUCGCUGUUUGCGAUAUACGGCAAGCGGCCAAGCGAAAGCGUUAAGUAUUCCACCUGGGGAGUACGCCGGCAACGGUGAAACUCAAAGGAAUUGACGGGGGCCCGCACAAGCGGAGGAACAUGUGGUUUAAUUCGAUGAUACGCGAGGAACCUUACCCGGGCUUAAAUUGCAGAUGAAUUACGGUGAAAGCCGUAAGCCGCAAGGCAUCUGUGAAGGUGCUGCAUGGUUGUCGUCAGCUCGUGCCGUGAGGUGUCGGCUUAAGUGCCAUAACGAGCGCAACCCUUGUUGUCAGUUACUAACAGGUUCCGCUGAGGACUCUGACAAGACUGCCAUCGUAAGAUGUGAGGAAGGUGGGGAUGACGUCAAAUCAGCACGGCCCUUACGUCCGGGGCUACACACGUGUUACAAUGGGGGGUACAGAGGGCCGCUACCACGCGAGUGGAUGCCAAUCCCAAAAACCUCUCUCAGUUCGGACUGGAGUCUGCAACCCGACUCCACGAAGCUGGAUUCGCUAGUAAUCGCGCAUCAGCCACGGCGCGGUGAAUACGUUCCCGGGCCUUGUACACACCGCCCGUCAAGCCAUGGGAGCCGGGGGUACCUGAAGUGCGUAACCGCGAGGAGCGCCCUAGGGUAAAACUGGUGACUGGGGCUA
Molecule: ribosomal RNA, 1454 nt
Filed under: uncultured organism
Description: SSU rRNA
Rfam family: Bacterial small subunit ribosomal RNA
Source: RNAcentral